Molecule: ribosomal RNA, 496 nt
Filed under: uncultured bacterium
Lineage: Bacteria
Description: partial 16S ribosomal RNA
Rfam family: Bacterial small subunit ribosomal RNA
Source: RNAcentral
GAUGAACGCUGGCGGCGUGCCUAAUACAUGCAAGUCGAGCGAACGGACGAGAAGCUUGCUUCUCUGAUGUUAGCGGCGGACGGGUGAGUAACACGUGGAUAACCUACCUAUAAGACUGGGAUAACUUCGGGAAACCGGAGCUAAUACCGGAUAAUAUUUUGAACCGCAUGGUUCAAAAGUGAAAGACGGUCUUGCUGUCACUUAUAGAUGGACCCGCGCUGCAUUAGCUAAUUGGUAAGGUAACGGCUUACCACGGCAACGAUGCAUAGCCGACCUGAGAGAGGAAUCGCCCACCUUGGACCUGAGCCACGGUCCGAACCCCACGGGAGGCAGCAGUAGGGAAUCUUGCGCAAAGGGCGAAAGCCUGACGCAGCAACGCCGCGUGAGUGAUGAAGGUCUUCGGAUCGUAAAACUCUGUUAUUAGGGAAGAACAUAUGUGUAAGUAACUGUGCCCAUCUUGACGGUACCUAAUCAGAAAGCCACGGCUAACUACGUG